This 451-nucleotide ribosomal RNA is filed under the name uncultured bacterium. RNAcentral's name for it is "bacterial SSU rRNA". It matches the Rfam family "Bacterial small subunit ribosomal RNA", at positions 354 to 796 of the family's 1533-position model. The record is from RNAcentral.
GUGGGGAAUAUUGGACAAUGGGGGGAACCCUGAUCCAGCCAUGCCGCGUGUGUGAAGAAGGCCUUUUGGUUGUAAAGCACUUUAAGCGAGGAGGAGGCUACCGAGAUUAAUACUCUUGGAUAGUGGACGUUACUCGCAGAAUAAGCACCGGCUAACUCUGUGCCAGCAGCCGCGGUAAUACAGAGGGUGCAAGCGUUAAUCGGAUUUACUGGGCGUAAAGCGCGCGUAGGUGGCCAAUUAAGUCAAAUGUGAAAUCCCCGAGCUUAACUUGGGAAUUGCAUUCGAUACUGGUUGGCUAGAGUAUGGGAGAGGAUGGUAGAAUUCCAGGUGUAGCGGUGAAAUGCGUAGAGAUCUGGAGGAAUACCGAUGGCGAAGGCAGCCAUCUGGCCUAAUACUGACACUGAGGUGCGAAAGCAUGGGGAGCAAACAGGAUUAGAUACCCGUGUAGUCC